GCCCAGACUCCUACGGGAGGCAGCAGUGGGGAAUAUUGCACAAUGGGGGAAACCCUGAUGCAGCGACGCCGCGUGAGUGAAGAAGUAUUUCGGUAUGUAAAGCUCUAUCAGCAGGGAAGAAAAAAGACGGUACCUGACUAAGAAGCCCCGGCUAACUACGUGCCAGCAGCCGCGGUAAUACGUAGGGGGCAAGCGUUAUCCGGAUUUACUGGGUGGAAAGGGAGCGUAGACGGUAUGGCAAGUCUGAAGUGAAAGCCCAGGGCUUAACCCUGGGACUGCUUUGGAAACUGUUAGACUAGAGUGCUGGAGAGGUAAGUGGAAUUCCUAGUGUAGCGGUGAAAUGCGUAGAUAUUAGGAGGAACACCAGUGGCGAAGGCGGCUUACUGGGCAGUAACUGACGUUGAGGCUCGAAAGCGUGGG
This 420-nucleotide ribosomal RNA is filed under the name uncultured bacterium. RNAcentral's name for it is "bacterial SSU rRNA". It matches the Rfam family "Bacterial small subunit ribosomal RNA", at positions 329 to 765 of the family's 1533-position model. The record is from RNAcentral.